UUGAUAGUAACAACCUUCCCACCC
RNAcentral lists this non-coding RNA (24 nucleotides) under Mus musculus (house mouse). The record is from RNAcentral. Lineage: Eukaryota; Metazoa; Chordata; Mammalia; Rodentia; Muridae.